CCUACGGGAGGCAGCAGUGAGGAAUAUUGGUCAAUGGUCGAGAGCCUGAACCAGCCAAGCCGCGUGAAGGAUGAAGGUACUGUGUAUUGUAAACUUCUUUUAUCUGGGAAUAAAGUCAGGAACGCGUUCCCUUUUGUAUGUACCUUAUGAAUAAGCAUCGGCUAACUCCGUGCCAGCAGCCGCGGUAAUACGGAGGAUGCGAGCGUUAUCCGGAUUUAUUGGGUUUAAAGGGUGCGUAGGCGGUUAAUUAAGUCAGCGGUGAAAGUUUGGGGCUCAACCCUAACAGUGCCGUUGAAACUGGUAGACUUGAGUAGGAGAGAGGUAGGCGGAAUGCGUGGUGUAGCGGUGAAAUGCAUAGAUAUCACGCAGAACUCCGAUUGCGAAGGCAGCUUAC
RNAcentral lists this ribosomal RNA (394 nucleotides) under uncultured bacterium. RNAcentral describes it as "partial 16S ribosomal RNA". It matches the Rfam family "Bacterial small subunit ribosomal RNA", at positions 338 to 729 of the family's 1533-position model. The record is from RNAcentral.